AAUACUCUCGAUACACAUGAUCUUGAUGUAACAGGUGACAGGAUUGUCUCUAAAUCAGGCCUUUAUAACGACAACUGUGAAAUACAAACAAAACAUCUAAUAUGCCACUCUCCAAAAAAUGUUACACGCCUUCUUGAAGAUCACCACCCAGGUUUCCCUCAUAUCACUUUUCAUGUAUCAUGGUUUCUUUUUUCUUUGUAACAUUUUAGAAUCUCCUUUCGUUCCAUCACUGAGGCGGUAACACAUGGGGAUGAUUUUGCUCAAGCACGCUUAUUCUGGGCCGAGUUGCUCAAGCAACAUGAUAUGUUGGUUGAGCAACUCAUUAUAUUAUGGUGAUGCUAGUUUCCCUGAGCAAGGCCUAAUCCUCCAAUGUCGAUAUUCUUUAAAUUUUAAUGUAUUUCCAAUUUUCCGUCCCGUUUCCCUGUUGAAACCUGAAUUUCCCUAUGACGGAAAUUUUCCUGUAUCUGCAGCAAACAAGAGCGUGUUGGGAUGGACAUUAAUGAGCACAGUUACCAGUUAUUUUCAGAAUACUUUAGAAUAUUAUAAAGUUGGUAGCUUGUGCGUUUCAACAUCCAGUUGAGCACGAAAGUUUGCUUUACCCUUUAAUGAUAUAUCUCUACCCUUUUAAGUUUCCUUUAAGAUUCAAACACAUCUGAAAAUGUAAGUUACCAACUGUUAAAGAGUGGCAGGCAUUAGCUAUAAGGGCAGUCUUAAGCUGGGAGGAUGUAUUGCCAAGUAUUGCCAGCUUGUGACUAGUGGCAGUCCAGCAGCGAAUUGGCAAGUGUGAACCCCCCUUUAUAAGAGCGUCUGAGGCAGAUGUUCACACACAUACAUCGCUUAAUGUAUAUUUGUAUAUAUACAAUUGAGAUUCUCGAAGAAAAUCCUUCAGAGACCAUGGGUAGGACUUGUCUCCUACUGGUGGCAGCAGUAGUGUCGUCAGUCCUCUCCGGCGCUGUGAACGAUGACAGUACAGAAGUCGUUCUCGAGCAAUUCCCAAAAUUUAAGCGAGAGGCCCAUCACUCUGCCGUUACACUGCCAGAAAUGAUGGAAGCGGCAAGUGUUCUAGCUAUGACUGGAGAGUACGGCAACAUGAACAGCAGAAGCUCUGGGGGUGAUAGCGGAGACCGCUUCGGCGCAGAUGGUUUCGAAGAUAAACAAGGAGUGGCCUGUCCAGGUGGUGUCUAUGGUAGAGUAGGAAGCUACAGUGGAGACAAAUACGGAAGUGAUAAAUGCGAAGAGGGAAACAGUCUGUGGAAAUGAAGGCUCACCUGAACAACUCUCUGAAAGCUCCAGGCACAGAGAGUGCCGCUUCCCAAAAUGCUUCAGUGAGAGAAAACGAGACAAACACUCACCUGAAGCAGUCGUUCACGAGGAACAACUCUCUGAAAGCUCCAGAUACGGAGAGUGCCGCUCCCCAAAAUGCUUCAAUGAGAGAAAACGAGACAAACACUCACCUGAAGCAGUCGUUCACGAGGAACAACUCUCUGAAAGCUCCAGGUACAGAGAGUGCCGCUCCCCAAAAUGCUUCAGUGAGAGAAGACGAGACAAACACUCACCUGAAGCAGUCGUUCACGAGGAACAACUCUCUGAAAGCUCUAGAUAUAGAGAACGCGGCUUCCCACAAUAACACAGAGAACACUGAGUACCGCCCAGGGCACAAGAGACAUGAGAUUUUAGAUAAAUUAAUAAAUCGCCCAUGGUACAUCUCACUAUGAGAGCACCUCCGAAUGAGUCUACUGACUCACAGGAUGAGGUUUUGCCAGCCUCAGUGUCUCAGAAAAUCAUCCUUAAGUUCACAGUAUCAUUUCAUUCUC
Scylla paramamosain (green mud crab) is the source of this 1814-nucleotide long non-coding RNA. RefSeq lists it as uncharacterized. The transcript has 2 exons. Lineage: Eukaryota; Metazoa; Arthropoda; Malacostraca; Decapoda; Portunidae. The record is from RefSeq and is a predicted model, not a curated record.